RNAcentral lists this ribosomal RNA (666 nucleotides) under uncultured fungus. RNAcentral describes it as "eukaryotic LSU rRNA". It matches the Rfam family "Eukaryotic large subunit ribosomal RNA", at positions 24 to 665 of the family's 3401-position model. Lineage: Eukaryota; Fungi. The record is from RNAcentral.
CCCGCUGAACUUAAGCAUAUCAAUAAGCGGAGGAAAAGAAACUAACAAGGAUUCCCCUAGUAACUGCGAGUGAAGCGGGAAAAGCUCAAAUUUAAAAUCUGGUGGCCUUUGGCCAUCCGAGUUGUAAUUUAGAGAAGCGUCUUCCGCGCCGGACCGUGCACAAGUCUCCUGGAAUGGAGCGUCAUAGAGGGUGAGAAUCCCGUCUUUGGCACGGACGACCGGGGCUUUUGUGAUGCGCUCUCGAAGAGUCGAGUUGUUUGGGAAUGCAGCUCAAAAUGGGUGGUGAACUCCAUCUAAAGCUAAAUAUUGGCGAGAGACCGAUAGCGAACAAGUACCGUGAGGGAAAGAUGAAAAGCACUUUGGAAAGAGAGUGAAACAGUACGUGAAAUUGUUGAAAGGGAAACGCUUGAAGUCAGUCGCGUCGUCCGAGACUCAGCCUCGCCUCGGCUUGGUGUACUUCUCGGCCGACGGGUCAGCAUCAAUUUUGCCCCUUGGAUAAUGGCGAAGGAAAUGUGACACCUUUACGGGUGUGUUAUAGUCUCUUGUCGCAUGCAAGGGUCGGGAUUGAGGAACUCAGCACGCGCCUUCGGGUGUCGGGGUUUUGCCCACGAUACGUGCUUAGGAUGUUGGCGUAAUGGCUUUAAACGACCCGUCUUGAAACACCGG